GGGGAUGUAGCUCAGCGGGAGAGCAUCGCGUUCGCAACGCGGGGGUCGGGGGUUCGAAUCCCCUCAUCUCCACCA
RNAcentral lists this transfer RNA (75 nucleotides) under Pseudomonadota bacterium. RNAcentral describes it as "Proteobacteria bacterium (marine sediment metagenome) tRNA-Ala". It matches the Rfam family "tRNA". Rfam says of the family: Transfer RNA (tRNA) molecules are approximately 80 nucleotides in length. Their secondary structure includes four short double-helical elements and three loops (D, anti-codon, and T loops). The record is from RNAcentral. Lineage: Bacteria; Pseudomonadati; Pseudomonadota. RNAcentral also lists the same sequence under 4 other names.